RNAcentral lists this ribosomal RNA (1502 nucleotides) under Klebsiella pneumoniae. RNAcentral's name for it is "bacterial SSU rRNA". It matches the Rfam family "Bacterial small subunit ribosomal RNA". Lineage: Bacteria; Pseudomonadati; Pseudomonadota; Gammaproteobacteria; Enterobacterales; Enterobacteriaceae. The record is from RNAcentral.
AGAGUUUGAUCAUGGCUCAGAUUGAACGCUGGCGGCAGGCCUAACACAUGCAAGUCGAGCGGUAGCACAGAGAGCUUGCUCUCGGGUGACGAGCGGCGGACGGGUGAGUAAUGUCUGGGAAACUGCCUGAUGGAGGGGGAUAACUACUGGAAACGGUAGCUAAUACCGCAUAAUGUCGCAAGACCAAAGUGGGGGACCUUCGGGCCUCAUGCCAUCAGAUGUGCCCAGAUGGGAUUAGCUAGUAGGUGGGGUAACGGCUCACCUAGGCGACGAUCCCUAGCUGGUCUGAGAGGAUGACCAGCCACACUGGAACUGAGACACGGUCCAGACUCCUACGGGAGGCAGCAGUGGGGAAUAUUGCACAAUGGGCGCAAGCCUGAUGCAGCCAUGCCGCGUGUGUGAAGAAGGCCUUCGGGUUGUAAAGCACUUUCAGCGGGGAGGAAGGCGNCGAUUGACGUUACCCGCAGAAGAAGCACCGGCUAACUCCGUGCCAGCAGCCGCGGUAAUACGGAGGGUGCAAGCGUUAAUCGGAAUUACUGGGCGUAAAGCGCACGCAGGCGGUCUGUCAAGUCGGAUGUGAAAUCCCCGGGCUCAACCUGGGAACUGCAUUCGAAACUGGCAGGCUAGAGUCUUGUAGAGGGGGGUAGAAUUCCAGGUGUAGCGGUGAAAUGCGUAGAGAUCUGGAGGAAUACCGGUGGCGAAGGCGGCCCCCUGGACAAAGACUGACGCUCAGGUGCGAAAGCGUGGGGAGCAAACAGGAUUAGAUACCCUGGUAGUCCACGCCGUAAACGAUGUCGAUUUGGAGGUUGUGCCCUUGAGGCGUGGCUUCCGGAGCUAACGCGUUAAAUCGACCGCCUGGGGAGUACGGCCGCAAGGUUAAAACUCAAAUGAAUUGACGGGGGCCCGCACAAGCGGUGGAGCAUGUGGUUUAAUUCGAUGCAACGCGAAGAACCUUACCUGGUCUUGACAUCCACAGAACUUUCCAGAGAUGGAUUGGUGCCUUCGGGAACUGUGAGACAGGUGCUGCAUGGCUGUCGUCAGCUCGUGUUGUGAAAUGUUGGGUUAAGUCCCGCAACGAGCGCAACCCUUAUCCUUUGUUGCCAGCGGUUAGGCCGGGAACUCAAAGGAGACUGCCAGUGAUAAACUGGAGGAAGGUGGGGAUGACGUCAAGUCAUCAUGGCCCUUACGACCAGGGCUACACACGUGCUACAAUGGCAUAUACAAAGAGAAGCGACCUCGCGAGAGCAAGCGGACCUCAUAAAGUAUGUCGUAGUCCGGAUUGGAGUCUGCAACUCGACUCCAUGAAGUCGGAAUCGCUAGUAAUCGUAGAUCAGAAUGCUACGGUGAAUACGUUCCCGGGCCUUGUACACACCGCCCGUCACACCAUGGGAGUGGGUUGCAAAAGAAGUAGGUAGCUUAACCUUCGGGAGGGCGCUUACCACUUUGUGAUUCAUGACUGGGGUGAAGUCGUAACAAGGUAACCGUAGGGGAACCUGCGGUUG